AUGCAAAAACUUGAUUACUCAUUUUUCCAAAGGGUGAAGAAUAUUUGGAGGAGAAUGAAGGAGGUGGAUUUUUGUCUAUCCCAUGAAAUAACCAUGGGAUAACCAUAUUUCAUUCAAACACAUGCAUAAGCCAUAAGGGUUUUCGAAAAAGGACAGUUUUUGAAAGGGUGCUUCUUAUGUGAAAAGGUGGUUAUCAUCAUACAUUAAAAUAGAAGUUUUUUCAUUAUGAUUUUAGUUUAACUUUGUAUCGGUGAUCUUUUGACUUUUAUGUUAACUAUUUUUGCUGAUUUUGUAAUAUGGUGGAUGGUUAUAUU
RNAcentral lists this long non-coding RNA (314 nucleotides) under Medicago truncatula (barrel medic). RNAcentral describes it as "lncRNA gene11872". The record is from RNAcentral. Lineage: Eukaryota; Viridiplantae; Streptophyta; Magnoliopsida; Fabales; Fabaceae.